RNAcentral lists this ribosomal RNA (465 nucleotides) under Vreelandella stevensii. RNAcentral describes it as "partial 16S ribosomal RNA". It matches the Rfam family "Bacterial small subunit ribosomal RNA", at positions 338 to 795 of the family's 1533-position model. Lineage: Bacteria; Pseudomonadati; Pseudomonadota; Gammaproteobacteria; Oceanospirillales; Halomonadaceae. The record is from RNAcentral.
CCUACGGGUGGCAGCAGUGGGGAAUAUUGGACAAUGGGGGGAACCCUGAUCCAGCCAUGCCGCGUGUGUGAAGAAGGCCCUCGGGUUGUAAAGCACUUUCAGUGAGGAAGAACGCCUGGUGGUUAAUACCCAUCAGGAAAGACAUCACUCACAGAAGAAGCACCGGCUAACUCCGUGCCAGCAGCCGCGGUAAUACGGAGGGUGCGAGCGUUAAUCGGAAUUACUGGGCGUAAAGCGCGCGUAGGUGGCUUGAUAAGCCGGUUGUGAAAGCCCCGGGCUCAACCUGGGAACGGCAUCCGGAACUGUCAAGCUAGAGUGCAGGCGAGGAAGGUAGAAUUCCCGGUGUAGAGGUGAAAUGCGUAGAGAUCGGGAGGAAUACCAGUGGCGAAGGCGGCCUUCUGGACUGACACUGACACUGAGGUGCGAAAGCGUGGGUAGCAAACAGGCUUAGAUACCCUUGUAGUC